UCGUGGUCGUGAGAUGUUGGGUUAAGUCCUGCAACGAGCGCAACCCUCACCUCUUGUUGCCAUCAGGUCAUGCUGGGCACUCUAGAGGAACUGCCCCGGUCAACGGGGAGGAAGGCGGGGAUGACGUCAAGUCAUCAUGCCCCUUACGUCCUGGGCUACACACGUGCUACAAUGGCCAGUACAAAGGGAUGCGACGCCGCGAGGUAGAGCUAAACCCAAAAAGCCGGUCUAAGUUCAGAUUGGAGUCUGCAACUCGACUCCAUGAAGGAGGAAUCGCUAGUAAUCGC
This 287-nucleotide ribosomal RNA is filed under the name uncultured Methylomirabilota bacterium. RNAcentral's name for it is "uncultured candidate division NC10 bacterium partial 16S ribosomal RNA". It matches the Rfam family "Bacterial small subunit ribosomal RNA", at positions 1060 to 1345 of the family's 1533-position model. The record is from RNAcentral. Lineage: Bacteria; Methylomirabilota (SeqCode).